RNAcentral lists this ribosomal RNA (1544 nucleotides) under Streptococcus thermophilus. RNAcentral's name for it is "bacterial SSU rRNA". It matches the Rfam family "Bacterial small subunit ribosomal RNA". Lineage: Bacteria; Bacillati; Bacillota; Bacilli; Lactobacillales; Streptococcaceae. The record is from RNAcentral.
AAUGAGAGUUUGAUCCUGGCUCAGGACGAACGCUGGCGGCGUGCCUAAUACAUGCAAGUAGAACGCUGAAGAGAGGAGCUUGCUCUUCUUGGAUGAGUUGCGAACGGGUGAGUAACGCGUAGGUAACCUGCCUUGUAGCGGGGGAUAACUAUUGGAAACGAUAGCUAAUACCGCAUAACAAUGGAUGACACAUGUCAUUUAUUUGAAAGGGGCAAUUGCUCCACUACAAGAUGGACCUGCGUUGUAUUAGCUAGUAGGUGAGGUAAUGGCUCACCUAGGCGACGAUACAUAGCCGACCUGAGAGGGUGAUCGGCCACACUGGGACUGAGACACGGCCCAGACUCCUACGGGAGGCAGCAGUAGGGAAUCUUCGGCAAUGGGGGCAACCCUGACCGAGCAACGCCGCGUGAGUGAAGAAGGUUUUCGGAUCGUAAAGCUCUGUUGUAAGUCAAGAACGGGUGUGAGAGUGGAAAGUUCACACUGUGACGGUAGCUUACCAGAAAGGGACGGCUAACUACGUGCCAGCAGCCGCGGUAAUACGUAGGUCCCGAGCGUUGUCCGGAUUUAUUGGGCGUAAAGCGAGCGCAGGCGGUUUGAUAAGUCUGAAGUUAAAGGCUGUGGCUCAACCAUAGUUCGCUUUGGAAACUGUCAAACUUGAGUGCAGAAGGGGAGAGUGGAAUUCCAUGUGUAGCGGUGAAAUGCGUAGAUAUAUGGAGGAACACCGGUGGCGAAAGCGGCUCUCUGGUCUGUAACUGACGCUGAGGCUCGAAAGCGUGGGGAGCGAACAGGAUUAGAUACCCUGGUAGUCCACGCCGUAAACGAUGAGUGCUAGGUGUUGGAUCCUUUCCGGGAUUCAGUGCCGCAGCUAACGCAUUAAGCACUCCGCCUGGGGAGUACGACCGCAAGGUUGAAACUCAAAGGAAUUGACGGGGGCCCGCACAAGCGGUGGAGCAUGUGGUUUAAUUCGAAGCAACGCGAAGAACCUUACCAGGUCUUGACAUCCCGAUGCUAUUUCUAGAGAUAGAAAGUUACUUCGGUACAUCGGUGACAGGUGGUGCAUGGUUGUCGUCAGCUCGUGUCGUGAGAUGUUGGGUUAAGUCCCGCAACGAGCGCAACCCCUAUUGUUAGUUGCCAUCAUUCAGUUGGGCACUCUAGCGAGACUGCCGGUAAUAAACCGGAGGAAGGUGGGGAUGACGUCAAAUCAUCAUGCCCCUUAUGACCUGGGCUACACACGUGCUACAAUGGUUGGUACAACGAGUUGCGAGUCGGUGACGGCGAGCUAAUCUCUUAAAGCCAAUCUCAGUUCGGAUUGUAGGCUGCAACUCGCCUACAUGAAGUCGGAAUCGCUAGUAAUCGCGGAUCAGCACGCCGCGGUGAAUACGUUCCCGGGCCUUGUACACACCGCCCGUCACACCACGAGAGUUUGUAACACCCGAAGUCGGUGAGGUAACCUUUUGGAGCCAGCCGCCUAAGGUGGGACAGAUGAUUGGGGUGAAGUCGUAACAAGGUAGCCGUAUCGGAAGGUGCGGCUGGAUCACCUCCUU